Molecule: non-coding RNA, 307 nt
Filed under: Enterobacter sp. Sphag71
Lineage: Bacteria; Pseudomonadati; Pseudomonadota; Gammaproteobacteria; Enterobacterales; Enterobacteriaceae
Also listed under: 1 other name
Source: RNAcentral
GAUGCUGGGGAUUAAGAGACGUUCAGGAGAAUGUCAGCCAAGAGGCAGGAACGUAACGGAGUUUACGGCACAAGGAAGGCUUCAGGACGAAGCAGGACACUCAGGAUUGAGUCAGGGACACCUCCAGGACGGAGAAUGAGAGCCACGCGGAAUGUGGCGGGCCAGGAUGCUAAGGACCAAUGUCAUGAUGACAAGCGACGGAAAGCGCAGGAAAAGUUGUCAUGGAUGAGCAGGGAGCACAGCAGUAGCUGGAAUGCUGCAAACGAAAACCGGGAGCACUGUAAUCACAGUGCUCCCUUUUUUUAUG